RNAcentral lists this ribosomal RNA (508 nucleotides) under uncultured bacterium. Its description in RNAcentral is "bacterial SSU rRNA". It matches the Rfam family "Bacterial small subunit ribosomal RNA", at positions 338 to 852 of the family's 1533-position model. The record is from RNAcentral.
CCUACGGGAGGCAGCAGCAAGGAAUCUUCCGCAAUGGGGGCAACCCUGACGGAGCAACGCCGCGUGGGGGAUGAGGCGCUUCGGCGUGUAAACCCCUUUUCUGCGGGAAGAAGGACUGCGGUCUUGACGGUACCGCAGGAAGAAGGACCGGCUAACUACGUGCCAGCAGCCGCGGUAAUACGUAGGGUCCGAGCGUUGUCCGGAGUUACUGGGCGUAAAGCGCGCGUAGGCGGCGGUGCUGGCCCGGCGUGAAAGCCCCCGGCUCAACCGGGGAGGGUCGUCGGGGACCGCACCGCUUGAGGGCGGUAGGGGCUGGUGGAAUGCCUGGUGUAGUGGUGAAAUGCGUAGAGAUCAGGCGGAACACCCGUGGCGAAGGCGGCCAGCUGGGCCGUCCCUGACGCUGAGGCGCGAAGGCGUGGGGAGCGAACGGGAUUAGAUACCCCGGUAGUCCACGCAGUAAACGAUGCCGACUAGGCGUGGGGGGAGUUGACCCCCUCCGUGCCGGAGC